UACGUAGGGGGCAAGCGUUGUCCGGAAUCAUUGGGUGUAAAGCGCGCGUAGGCGGCUCGAUCAGUCUGCUGUAAAAGUCAAAGGCUCAACCUUUGAAUGCCGGUGGAUACUGUCGGGCUAGAGUCCGGAAGAGGCGAGUGGAAUUCCUGGUGUAGCGGUGGAAUGCGCAGAUAUCAGGAGGAACACCAACGGCGAAGGCAGCUCGCUGGGACGGUACUGACGCUAAGGCGCGAAAGCGUGGGGAGCGAACAGG
This 253-nucleotide ribosomal RNA is filed under the name uncultured bacterium. RNAcentral's name for it is "partial 16S ribosomal RNA". It matches the Rfam family "Bacterial small subunit ribosomal RNA", at positions 524 to 776 of the family's 1533-position model. The record is from RNAcentral.